This 242-nucleotide long non-coding RNA is filed under the name Citrus sinensis (sweet orange). RNAcentral describes it as "long non-coding RNA (CSIN_LNC004701)". Lineage: Eukaryota; Viridiplantae; Streptophyta; Magnoliopsida; Sapindales; Rutaceae. The record is from RNAcentral.
GAUGUGAAUCCCACAAUGAAACUUUGAAUCCCACACUUAAUUUGUAGUUUCAACUUCCCAAGAAAGUUCUAAACAGAUUUAAGACAAACAAAACCUUGACCCAAUGCUUAAGAAAACAUGAACCAAAGGUAUAGAGAAUGGUAUUGACGCCACACUCAAGAAAUAGAUGAGAAGGUGAGUGAUAAGUCUAAAUUUGGAACGCCACAAGAAUGCAAAUUCUUGAUAAGUUCACUAGUUCUCAA